RNAcentral lists this ribosomal RNA (472 nucleotides) under uncultured bacterium. Its description in RNAcentral is "bacterial SSU rRNA". It matches the Rfam family "Bacterial small subunit ribosomal RNA", at positions 28 to 507 of the family's 1533-position model. The record is from RNAcentral.
GAUGAACGCUGGCGGCGUGCCUCAAACAUGCAAGUCGAGCGGGGCUAUGUAAUAUCGCAAGGUAGAACAUAGCCUAGCGGCGAACGGGUGAGUAACACGUGGGUAACCUGCCUGGAAGACAGGGAUAACGAUUCGAAAGGGUCGCUAAUACCUGAUAAUAUCCUUUCAUCGCAUGGUGAUAGGAAGAAAGGGGAAACCCGCUUUCAGAUGGGCCCGCGUCCCAUCAGCUAGUUGGUAAGGUAAAGGCUUACCAAGGCGACGACGGGUAGCCGGUCUGAGAGGAUGUACGGCCACACUGGGACUGAGAUACGGCCCAGACUCCUACGGGAGGCAGCAGUUGGGAAUCUUAGGCAAUGGACGAAAGUCUGACCUAGCGACGCCGCGUGAGGGAAGAAGGCCUUCGGUUGUAAACCUCUGUCAUGGGGAAGAAGUAAGUGACGGUACCCCAAGAGGAAGCCCUGCUAACUACGUG